This 573-nucleotide long non-coding RNA is filed under the name Homo sapiens (human). RNAcentral's name for it is "HSALNT0101686". Lineage: Eukaryota; Metazoa; Chordata; Mammalia; Primates; Hominidae. The record is from RNAcentral.
CAGCCACCUCUGAGUGCGGUCCAGCCCUGUGCCAUUGGAGGCGAAUCUUCAGGUUGCUGGAUUUGAAACUUACACAAACACUCACUGUAUUAUUGCAGAAGAGAGAGAGAAUGGAGAGAGAAAGGAAGAGGAAGAGGACAAGAAGAGGAAAGAGAGGAGGAAAGGAAGAGAUCCAAGCUCUAUGCCCCCCCAAAACUGAACCCAUGGACUGCUUCAUGUGGGCUCACUUGCCCUCUGCUUCUGGCUGAUUUGGCAAUGGAGACAUACAGAGGAGAUCAGAAGGUGGGAGGAGAGAAAGGUUGGUGUGUUCAUUCCUCCAAUCCCCACCUUGCCUCUUGCACAGCUCCAGCCUCAGGCUAGUUCUUGGUCCUUUCACCAUGCUUCAUUGAUUCCUGAAACCUGCUACCACCUGUGUAAAUAGUAUCAACAUUAAAUAACUCUUCAGUUAAACUCUUAUCUGCACUAUGUAUGCCCUGCCCAGACCCGAUUGUUACAAUAAUGAAUGCUUAUACAAAUCCUAUAUAAAUGCUAUUUUUUUUUUUUUUUGAGACGGAGUCUCUCUGUCGUCCAGGC